This 334-nucleotide ribosomal RNA is filed under the name uncultured fungus. RNAcentral describes it as "bacterial SSU rRNA". It matches the Rfam family "Eukaryotic small subunit ribosomal RNA", at positions 608 to 961 of the family's 1831-position model. Lineage: Eukaryota; Fungi. The record is from RNAcentral.
AGAUGUUGAGUUAAAAACCUCCGAAUUGAAUUUCUUCACCCGGACGGGGUCCCUCUCGCGAGGCCUACUCAGCGCUUGGGACUUUGCCCUACUUGUGUGUGCGUUAGCGUGCAGUCAUACAGGGCGUUUACUGGGAAAAAAUUAAAAUGUUCAAAAACGGCGUUUCCCUCGGAUACUUUAUCAUGGAAUAAUAAAAUAGAAGUAGGGUUCUAUUUUGUUGGUUCUAGGACCGUCGUAAUGAUUAAUAGGGAUGGUCGGGGGCAUCAGUAUUCAGUAGUAAGAGGUGAAAUUCUUGGAUUUACUGAAGACUAACUGCUGCGAAAGCAUUUGCCAA